Molecule: long non-coding RNA, 387 nt
Filed under: Aquilegia coerulea
Lineage: Eukaryota; Viridiplantae; Streptophyta; Magnoliopsida; Ranunculales; Ranunculaceae
Description: long non-coding RNA (ACOE_LNC000473)
Source: RNAcentral
CAAUGCUAAAAUGUCUCAUCCAUUCUGCCUAAUCUCUUUAGUACGGCGCUGAGAUGCCUCUCCAGCAGCCUGUAAUCAGCCAUCAUCCACCUUUAAAAAACAAAUAUACAUCUAAAAAAAGCCUCUGAGAUAGAUUACAGAAUAAGCCUAAGUUGUCAAAGGCGCACACUUGAGAAGCCAUGCACCUCACCUCGCCCCUGACAACAUACGUACAACCCUGUGAACAGAGUUAAGUUAUGAGUCAACUUAGUGGACAAAAACCCAAAAUAUUAUUAGCACAAUAGUGAAUUGCAAAGACUAUCAAUUUGAUGCGUAUAACCCCAAAAGAAAAGCUUCCCAAGUAUCUGAUAGUGUAAGUAAGACUGUAAGACAACUUACACCAGCUUU